CCUACGGGGGGCAGCAGUGAGGAAUAUUGGUCAAUGGACGAGAGUCUGAACCAGCCAAGUCGCGUGAAGGAUGACUGCCCUAUGGGUUGUAAACUUCUUUUAUAAAGGAAUAAAACGAGGCACGUGUGCCUUUUUGCAUGUACUUUAUGAAUAAGGAUCGGCUAACUCCGUGCCAGCAGCCGAGGUAAUACGGAGGGUCCGAGCGUUAUCCGGAUUUAUUGGGUUGAAAGGGUGCGUUAAUGGGUUGUUAAGUCAGUUGUGAAAGUUUGCGGCGUAACCGUAAAAUUGCAAUUGAUACUGGAAGUCUUGAGGAAAGUUGAGGUAAGCGGAAUUCGUGGUGUAGCGGUGAAAUGCGUAGAUAUCAGGAGGAAUCCCAGUGGCGAAGGCAGCUUACUAAGCUGUGACUGACGCUGAGGCUCGAAAGUGUGGGUAUCAAACAGGAUUAGAUACCCUGGUAGUC
RNAcentral lists this ribosomal RNA (460 nucleotides) under uncultured bacterium. RNAcentral's name for it is "partial 16S ribosomal RNA". It matches the Rfam family "Bacterial small subunit ribosomal RNA", at positions 338 to 795 of the family's 1533-position model. The record is from RNAcentral.